RNAcentral lists this ribosomal RNA (495 nucleotides) under uncultured bacterium. Its description in RNAcentral is "partial 16S ribosomal RNA". It matches the Rfam family "Bacterial small subunit ribosomal RNA", at positions 28 to 504 of the family's 1533-position model. The record is from RNAcentral.
GACGAACGCUGGCGGCGUGCCUAAUACAUGCAAGUCGAACGAGAGCGACCGUUGCUUGCACUGGUCAAUCUAGUGGCGAACGGGUGAGUAACACGUGGGUAACCUGCCCAUCAGAGGGGGAUAACAUCCGGAAACGGAUGCUAAAACCGCAUAGGUCUUCGAGCCGCAUGGCUUGAAGAGGAAAAGAGGCGCAAGCUUCUGCUGAUGGAUGGACCCGCGGUGGAUUAGCUAGUUGGUGAGGUAACGGCUCACCAAGGCCGUGAUGCACAGCCGACCUGCGAGGGUGAUCGGCCACAUUGGGACUGAGACACGGCCCAAACUCCUACGGGAGGCAGCAGUAGGGAAUCGGCCGCAAUGGACGCAAGUCUGACGGAGCAACGCCGCGUGAGUGAAGAAGGUUUGCGGAUCGUAAAACUCUGUUGUUAGAGAAGAACAAGUGCUAGAGUAACUGUUAGCGCCUUGACGGUAUCUAACCAGAAAGCCACGGCUAACUAC